GCAGUCGACGCGAACGGGUUCUUCGGAACCCAAGUAGAGUGGCGCACGGGUGAGUAACGCGUAAGUAACCUGCCCCCGCAUCCGGGAUAACCCACCGAAAGGUGUGCUAAUACCGGAUACGUCUGGAAUGAUGCUUUGAUACCAGAGAAAGGUGGCUUCAUUUGGAGCUACUGUGCGGGGAUGGGCUUGCGUACCAUUAGCUAGUCGGUAGGGUAACGGCCUACCGAGGCGACGAUGGUUAGCGGGUCUGAGAGGAUGAUCCGCCACACUGGAACUGGAACACGGACCAGACUCCUACGGGAGGCAGCAGUGAGGAAUAUUGCGCAAUGGGGGCAACCCUGACGCAGCGACGCCGCGUGGAUGAUGAAGGCCUUCGGGUUGUAAAAUCCUGUCAGAUGGGAAGAAGUGACAUAUGCCGAAUACGUGUAUGUUUUGACGGUACCAUCAAAGGAAGCACCGGCUAACUCCGUGCCAGCAGCCGCGGUAAUACGGAGGGUGCGAGCGUUGUUCGGAAUUACUGGGCGUAAAGCGCGCGUAAGCGGCUGUAUAAGUCAGAUGUGAAAGCC
This 566-nucleotide ribosomal RNA is filed under the name uncultured delta proteobacterium. RNAcentral describes it as "bacterial SSU rRNA". It matches the Rfam family "Bacterial small subunit ribosomal RNA", at positions 57 to 602 of the family's 1533-position model. The record is from RNAcentral. Lineage: Bacteria; Deltaproteobacteria.